UGUCAGGUAGUCUAGUGGUUAGAACUCACCUUUUUCAAGAUGAAUAAAUGGGAUGUCCGGGGUUCGAACUCUAGCCCUACAU
Molecule: transfer RNA, 82 nt
Filed under: Medicago truncatula (barrel medic)
Lineage: Eukaryota; Viridiplantae; Streptophyta; Magnoliopsida; Fabales; Fabaceae
Description: tRNA-OTHER
Source: RNAcentral